UGUCAAGGGAUGGGAAUCGAACCCACGACCAUCCGCUUACCGGGCAGAUGCCAUGACCACUAGGCUACCCUGGAC
This 75-nucleotide transfer RNA is filed under the name Cordylochernes scorpioides. RNAcentral's name for it is "tRNA-Thr". The record is from RNAcentral. Lineage: Eukaryota; Metazoa; Arthropoda; Arachnida; Pseudoscorpiones; Chernetidae.